AGAGAGUAGACAGAGGCAGGCUGUCUUCAUGAACAUUCUCCAUACUUUUCCAGAUUCAUAGAAGCUACCAGAGCUUAUACUCCAUUGACAUAACUUCAAAAUCCCUGGAAUGCAUGACCAUUGCCAUACUCCUCUGAGCUACUUGAAGAGAACUUCAGAAAAGAGGUGAAUGUUUCUCCAAAGGAAAAAGAAAUCAAUCAAGAGUUGGAGAAAAUGUCAGCCUAGAAAAUCAUCCCACCGAUUUCAAGAUUAAAGAGAUACUAGUUUGUGGAAGCAUCCAGAAAGCAGAAACACUGAACACUAAGGACACUUGAGCGGCUAUUCCUCCGCCUUACUUGCUCUAAUACUACAUGACGGUUUUUCUUAUCUGCCUUGGUUAAUUCAUUUUAUAGUACUAUCUGGGAAC
This 406-nucleotide long non-coding RNA is filed under the name Phascolarctos cinereus (koala). RNAcentral's name for it is "lncRNA (ENSPCIG00000017054.2)". The record is from RNAcentral. Lineage: Eukaryota; Metazoa; Chordata; Mammalia; Diprotodontia; Phascolarctidae.